AUUUGACCUCAGAUCAGGUAGGACU
This 25-nucleotide ribosomal RNA is filed under the name Bullera sp. TY-248. RNAcentral's name for it is "partial 26S ribosomal RNA". Lineage: Eukaryota; Fungi; Basidiomycota; Tremellomycetes; Tremellales; Bulleraceae. The record is from RNAcentral.